This 73-nucleotide transfer RNA is filed under the name Pseudomonas phage vB_PaeM_PA5oct. Its description in RNAcentral is "tRNA-Thr". It matches the Rfam family "tRNA". From Rfam's summary of the family: Transfer RNA (tRNA) molecules are approximately 80 nucleotides in length. RNAcentral also lists the same sequence under 3 other names. The record is from RNAcentral. Lineage: Duplodnaviria; Heunggongvirae; Uroviricota; Caudoviricetes; Arenbergviridae.
GCCGUCUUAGCUCAGCUGGUAGAGCAACUGACUUGUAAUCAGUAGGUCGUGAGUUCGAAUCCCACAGUCGGCA